Molecule: ribosomal RNA, 301 nt
Filed under: uncultured bacterium
Lineage: Bacteria
Description: bacterial SSU rRNA
Rfam family: Bacterial small subunit ribosomal RNA
Source: RNAcentral
CAUGGUAUAGCAAUUAAAGGAGCAAUCCGCUAUGAGAUGGACCCGCGUCGCAUUAGCUAGUUGGUGAGGUAACGGCUCACCAAGGCGACGAUGCGUAGCCGACCUGAGAGGGUGAUCGGCCACAUUGGGACUGAGACACGGCCCAGACUCCUACGGGAGGCAGCAGUGGGGAAUAUUGCACAAUGGGGGAAACCCUGAUGCAGCAACGCCGCGUGAGUGAUGACGGUCUUCGGAUUGUAAAGCUCUGUCUUUAGGGACGAUAAUGACGGUACCUAAGGAGGAAGCCACGGCUAACUACGUG